Molecule: long non-coding RNA, 912 nt
Organism: Syngnathus acus (greater pipefish)
Lineage: Eukaryota; Metazoa; Chordata; Actinopteri; Syngnathiformes; Syngnathidae
Exons: 7
Source: RefSeq, a predicted model, not a curated record
ACCACCAGUCCGACCGAAGUCAGCAUCACAACCAGCAGCAGGAUGACGGACACCAGGCUGAUGGCCAGUAGUAGGUCAGAGGUCACGCCUUCUGAGGUCAACUAGAGGUUCUCUGGGAAAGUGCUUACCUGUCACUGCGGCACACUUUGCUGUCACAGAGAGUGUGAAACAGGCAAGCCGCCGCAACAGCAGGACCCGCCAUCAGUCUCCCACUGCCACACGCGCCACCGAGAUGUCUAACUAACCAGUCUCUGAGGCCUCUCUUGCAUAAAAGGGAUGGCACAACUGAUCAACAAGAAACCAAUGCAUCCGCAGGGCACGGAGACAAUUGGCACCAUCUGACGUCUUCACAGUGCCGCCCUGCUGUGCUGGGUGGGCAAGCGCAAGUGAAAUCGUCCCACGCGGUGUAACACAUUCCCCCGUUGAGACAAGGGUUCCUCUGAAGAAGAGACAAGGACAAAGGUCUUGGAUGCAUCCUUUAAAAUGUCCCCCCCCCCAAACGGCAGCAGCACGGCUGUCCAGCAGACCUCCGACAUAGACGCUAUCUCCUGCUCGAAUGGCGCUCUCGAUGUCACCGAGCUGAGCCGUGACCACGCCGUCCUCCAGCCACACGUGCAGGUAGCGCGUGCUGCCGUUGCCCGCCGCCAGCAGGAGGCCGCCGGGCUUGCGCGUGCGGAGGAAGAGAGAGAUCGAGAGGCCUUCACCCAGGUCAUCCGUGACGUUGAAGACGGCGUAGCUCAGCGAGUCCUCGCUCCCAAAGCGAGCGCUCGCAUGUUCUGAAGGGAGCCCCGUUUUGGCACGGCUUGUCUUGGCAUUCAUCAAUGUCGAUUUCACAACGGCGGCCUUGGAAACCGGGCGGGCAGGUGCAAAGCGAGCCACCCGUGUUGUCGUGGCAACUGCCGCCAUUGAGAC